RNAcentral lists this long non-coding RNA (353 nucleotides) under Prunus persica (peach). RNAcentral describes it as "long non-coding RNA (PPER_LNC005573)". Lineage: Eukaryota; Viridiplantae; Streptophyta; Magnoliopsida; Rosales; Rosaceae. The record is from RNAcentral.
UUUAAGGUUGGAUCAGGACUGCCUGUGCUGUUGAAGGCAUACAAUCGGUCGGAGAAAAAUUGACAUUGAGCACGCCCAAAUGUGUGAGCACCUGUUAUGUUAUGCAUGUCAAAUGUUGUCACUAAAGAGCAACAUAGACACACACACACGUACGUAUAUUAAUAUGUCCAUUUUUUUUUUCUUUCCUUCCUUACUUACCGGAUAGUGCAACCAGAUCAGUGGUGUCGAGGCCAACAGCUGCGAAGCUGGCCUUGAGUUCGUCAAGGGUGAAAGAGGGAGCUGGAAGGGCUUCGUUGGCAGCCGUGCGAUUCGCUGUUGUGCUAUCCCUUCUUCCUAAUAGAACUGUCCAUGAG